This is a long non-coding RNA of Hemiscyllium ocellatum (epaulette shark), 518 nucleotides long. RefSeq lists it as uncharacterized. The record is from RefSeq and is a predicted model, not a curated record. The transcript has 4 exons. Lineage: Eukaryota; Metazoa; Chordata; Chondrichthyes; Orectolobiformes; Hemiscylliidae.
GUUGAUUCUGUUGUAACAUGCAGAGGAGGUGGUGGAAGCAAACACAAUAGCAGCAUUCAAGAAAUACCUGGACAAAUACACGAAUAGGAAGAGAAUAGAGGCAUCUGGAUCCUUGACUGGACUAUUCUGGAGAAGAGUCAUACUGGACAAGAAAUGUCAACUCUGUUUCUUUCUCCACACAUGCUUACAGGCCUGCUGAGCUUCUUCAGAAUUCUGUGUGUUUGUUAUAGAUAUAUUGCAGCAACUCUCCAAGGAUUUACGAACAGCAUGCCCCAAACCUGGAAUCUCUAUCAUCAAGAGAGACAAGGACAGAGCGUCUAUGGGAAGAUCAGCCUCCACACUCCACCCCUCACCCCCACCAUAUCAAAUUAUCUGAGUCAUACACAAAAUUCUUUGGAAAUGUAUCGCCAUUCCUUUGUCAAAAUGCCAUCAUAGCCCAACAGGAAUGCGAGAGCAGCUUCACUACAUGACUGAAAAGGUCCAAGAAAUCAGCUGACCAAGCAUCAUUUGACAGUGAG